This 369-nucleotide ribosomal RNA is filed under the name uncultured eukaryote. RNAcentral describes it as "partial 18S ribosomal RNA". It matches the Rfam family "Eukaryotic small subunit ribosomal RNA", at positions 592 to 975 of the family's 1831-position model. The record is from RNAcentral.
CAAUAGCGUAUAUUAAAGUUGUUGCAGUUAAAAAGCUCGUAGUUGGAUUUCUGGUCGGAAGCUCCUGUCCUCUGAUGAGCGUACAAGUGCGUCCUACCAUCCUUCUGUUGACCUUUAAGGCUUUCGCGGCUUUCUAGGGGCUCAGAUAUUUUACCUUGAGAAAAUUAGAGUGUUUCAGGCAGGCUAGCGCCGGAAUACAUUAGCAUGGAAUAAUGGAAUAGGACUUUUGCCUCUUCUGUUGGUCAUGAGGCUCGAGUAAUGAUUAAUAGGGAUAGUUGGGGGCAUUAGUACUUAACUGUCAGAGGUGAAAUUCUCGGAUUUGUUAAAGACUAACUUAUGCGAAAGCAUUUGCCAAGGAUGUUUNCAUUA